Molecule: long non-coding RNA, 7960 nt
Filed under: Homo sapiens (human)
Lineage: Eukaryota; Metazoa; Chordata; Mammalia; Primates; Hominidae
Description: HSALNT0386630
Source: RNAcentral
ACCGAAGACCAGGAUGUUCUUGCCGGACGGCAGCUUGGACCUGGCGCGGGUGGACACUUCGCUCAGAAUGGAGGACCUGUGGCGACAAUGGCAAGAGUGGUCAGCCCCGGGCCGGGCUGGGAUGGCCCGGCUCGCGUCGGCCCCUCAGUGUGUCCGACGGUCCGGCCCAGAGGCCGCGCCCCCCACGGCCCGGCCCGACCGCCCGCGGCCUCACCAUAGGCUCUGGCCUUCCUCCUCCUCACUGGUCAGGUCGCCGGCGGCCGCCACCGCGGGCCCGUUGGGACCUAGCAGCAGCUUCUUCUCCACCCCCACCGGCGCCAUCUUGCCAACUGCAGCCACAAAGAGGGCCCUCCCCCGGGCCCGCCGAGGACCCGCGAGGACCCGGGCCGGGCCGCCCCCCGCUCGCCGUCCCUCGCGCCGCGCCGCCCGCCGACCUUGCCGCGGCGACUGCGCCGCCCAACGUGUCCUCUAGAUGAGGAACCUGAAGCUCAAAAAAUUUAAGAAACCCACCCAAGGACCCAAGGCUAGAAGAUAACAUUCGGUACUUCUAAUUUAUUCCCCAACCUUGGACCAUUAUAUCAUGAACUUGGCCUAACCCUACUCAAGCCCUGCAUUGAAAGACUAGCCUUAAGGAAGACCCCAGAAUCCUCAUAAAUAUCCUGCAUUUCCCCCUCCUCCUCCGAAGACUAAAGACUGUGAAGUAGUGCUCUUGACCGCAGUGCAUAAUACACUUGGCUUUGCUUUAUUAACAUGCUUUUUAAAAUGAUGUUUUCAGGGAGCCAGCAUUUCACACCAGAAGAGGAGCCCUUAAUUUCCUUGGGGGCCAGCUGGCAGGUGCAGAGCGGGGAGAAAAAUAAAAGGAAAGGGGAUGGAAAAGGGAAAGAGCGGAGAGUAACCGAAGGAAAAACAUACAUUCCAUUAUCAAGCUUAAUUUUAGGUGUGGCCUCUACUUGAGGGCUCUUGCCAUUCUCUAUGGAAACAGGCUAACAAGACAUUUCUAAAUAUCACAAGGAAGUGGAAUGUGGCAGAAAAGCACCACCUAAGUAGGUUUCAGAUGAGUAGGAUUGUGAUCCUGAUGCCAAAAAAUCUGGCGGCAUGAAUUACGGGAUAAAACAAAUGGGCAUAUCAUCUGCCAAACUGGAUGUAAGGUUUAAACAAGACGAGAGUGAAAACCCACUGAGUUCCUCCCUUGGAAAUCUGGGAAAAUCAGGCAAAGUGCCAGAAGUCCUAAAAGGGCAAGCAGUGCUGAAUUUUCACAGGACAGAAGAUGGAGAUGAAAAUUACAGGCCAGUGAGCUUAAUCAGCACUAAGUGAAAUUUUGUGAUUAAACACUAAAGGAAAAGAGAAUACCAGAUUUACACAGUAUCUUUCUUUUUUGCAGGAGUACCAGGUAGGCGGAUGCUGCAGAUACAGCAAAUGCAGAUUUCAACAGGGCAUUUGACAAUUCACAUCUUAGAUGCGAAAGUGAAAUCAAUGCUGGAUGAUAGCACUGAGGCUUAUUAAAGACUAGCCCAGAGGUGGCUGAUGAAGAGGAGGGACCAGCAGAUGAGGCUGCUAGGGGCCUGCCCAAACCUCCUGCCCUGGCCAGCCAAUUCAGGGUGCCAUCAGUGACUUGGAUAAGAAUACAGCAGCAGUCAUGGAAGUUGUGGAUGACCUGAAGCAGGAAGGGUUGCCUUAUCUACUGCAUGACAAACUGAGCAGAGACUAAAUCUAACAAGUUGAAAUUUAGCAGGAACUAUUAAAGUCCUGUGGAAGAGUUUAACAAAAAAGCAUAGGAAGGCCAGGUACGGUGGCUCACACCUGUAAUCCCGGCACUUUGGGAGGCCGAGGCUGGCGGAUCACUUGAGGUCAGGAGUUCCAGACCAGCCUGUCCAACAUGGCCAAACCCCGUCUCUACUAAAAAUACAAAAAAAAAAAAAAAAAAUUAGCCAGGAAUGGUGGCAUCCGCCUGUAAUCCCAGCUGCCUGGGAGGCUGAAGCACGAUAAUUGCUUGAACCCAGGAGACAGAGGCUGCAGGGAGUUGAGAUCACACCACUGCACUCUAGCCUGGGCGACAGAGUAAGACUGUCAAAUAAAGUAAAAUUUAAUUUAAAAAUGCAUAGGAAUAGGAUAGGAAAUUAUUUGAAAUAAAAAUGAUAAUCUAAACGUCAUUACUGUAUUAACUAUAAUCUAAGAGUUGGUCAUGUAGAAUGCCAAGAAACAUCUUAGGGUAGAACCCAUAAAACCUCACUGAUGCUAACAAAGAAGCUAGCCCCCCAUGCCAGUCAGGCUGGAUUUCUUAGGGUGACAUUUCUGGACACAUUUUGCAAAGACAGAGGUAUCCAGUGGUCAGUGACUAAACUCAUAAGGGGACAAGACAUCGUUCUGCUGCAACAUGAAGUAACUAGGGCUCAUCAGUAUGAAGGAUAAAGAUACAGAGGGAGAAGAAGGGAAAGUGUAGACAUUUCUGAAAAGCUAAAGCAAAUAAACAUACACCAAAAAGAAGUGAACCUGACUAUAUGAUGUGGGAGUAUUCAAAGCAACUGCAUAAUUAGUCUUUAGAAGAAGAAACUUUUUUUUUUUCCUCUAGGAUACUACAAUAAACAAUAGAAGAGGAAACUUUUUUAAGAGAUAGGGUCUUGCUCUUGUCCAGGCCAGAGUACAGUGAAACACUCAUAACUAACUACAACCUCGAACUCCUGGGCUCAAGCGAUCCUCCCACUUCAGCCUCUCAAGUAGUUAGGACCACAGGGGCAUGCCACCACAUCCAGCUAAUUUUUAAAUUUUUUUGUAAAGAUAGGGGUCUCACUAUGUUGCCCAGGCUGGUCUCAAACUCCUUGCCUCAAGUGAUCCUCCCACAUUGGCCUCCCAAAGUGCUAGGAUUACAAAUAUGGGCCACCACCACAGCCAAGGAAACAUUUUAAUUAACAAAAUGUCAAAUAUUGAUUUAGUGUAUGGGAACCUUAGUUAAAUAGCUUGGGGAACUAUUCUUUCUGAAUUCUGGGGAGGGACUUUUGUACCAUAUAAAAAUACUAAAAUCCAAAUGUCCCACAUAGUAUUUAUUGCAAUAUAAUGUCAAAUAACAUUUAAAGGCUAAUUCUUUUCUCUGUGUCCUUUAAGCUUAAGGAAAAAUAAAAGCAUAUUCCUAAACAAAUGUUUGAUCUUAUGAAGGAAUUUUCUUACUAAUCUGUACACUGAUGAUAUAUUUGCUUUAUAAAUCAUUGUAAUUUGAUGAGUUUCAGCAUCACAAAAACUGUUUAAUGAAAACUGUAUCCUCAUUUCCACAUUCCUUCUCAUGAGAGUUUAGAAAAAUACUUUAAAUGUAUCUUUCAAGGCACUGUAUUUUAAGAAUCCAAACUAAAAACUGACAGUCUUCUUUCAAUCAAGAAGCUGCACACGUGGGGUGUUUGGUCAGCUUGUGGUAUUUGUGAGCAAGGUCCACAGCCUUCCGUCCUUGCUGAAAGGGGAAAGACCACAAAAUUGAAUUCCAGUGAUUUCCCAUUUUCUUAACUCCAUUGAAAAGGUAAUUUACUUCUUCUUCAGUAAAGUUUUUGCGAAUUCUUCUUUUUUCUAUAAUUAGAAUUGUAGAAUAUAUUAGUAUUUGCUGAACAAAGGUCCUGAGAUGCAAAUAAGUGCUUAUUUGGAUAUGCUUAACUUAUACCUAAGGAUAUAAACUACAGAGUGAGAAAUGCCAGGGCUUCUCAUCAUGUGGAAACCCACUUCAAUUUUAAAAACCUGAGUGCCUAAUAUUAAGCUAGUUGCUAUCACUGUGACUUCUUCAGUAAUUAUAACUUAAUUGACAGUAGUAAUACAACAUCUUUCAGUCAAGAAACAAAAGUUUAUAAACAUUUGAUUGUUAAUUCAACAUUCCUGUGAGGACAGUUAACAAACAUCUUACCGGCCAGGCACGGUGACUUAUGCCUAUAAUCCCAGCACUUUGGGAGGCUGAGGAAGGUGGAUUACUUGAGGUCAGAAGUUCGAGACCAGCCUGGUCAACGUGGCAAUAAUCUCUCUCCACCAAAAAUACAAAAAGUAGCCAGGCAUGGUGGCACGUGACUGUAGUCCCAGCUUCUCGGGAGGCUGAGGCACAAGAAUUGCUUAAACUCGGGAGGCAGAGGUUGCAGUGAGCUGACAGCACACCACUGCACUCCAGCCUGGGCGACAGAGCAAGACUCUGUCUCAAAAUAUAUAAAUAAAUAAAAAUAAAAAACAGCUUACGUAUCUUAGAGAUACAGUCUUCCCAAAGGGCUCCAUAACUUGAUAGAAUAGAAAAGAAUAUCAACACUUGUUAAAUAUUAGGUUUGAUAAUAUUUUUAAGAAUAAGGGUCUUUUGAAAUUUGCUUUUAAAAACACAUGGUCAGCUAGAUCAAAACUCAAAAUAUAGGCUGCACAAUGAGGAAGGAAGUUUUUAACUAUUUGGUUUUUAAGGGAUACUUUCUAUAAAGAAAGAAUAUACAGCUGGUAUCUGUAAACAAAUAUUUUCUGGUGAUGAUUACUAGGAAAUAGUUUUCUUUAAGCUUUUUCAUUCAUUAUUAUCUCAUCUUAUCAAUGUGGGUAGAUGCUGGUGAGGAGAAGUUUUCUGUAUUUCCAGUUGAGGCUGUUAUUUACUUUCGUAGUACUGGGUGCAGUUGUCCUGGGUCACCCUUAGAAAACCUUGCCCUUGCAGGCCAAGACAGCCAUUUGUUUACCUUUUCUAAGAGCCACAGUUCAGACCUUUUAAAACAGAUGAAAAAAUCUUCCCAGCAGAAGGUUAUCAGUGUAAAUGUCUGAUUAUUACUUAAUAGUAUUAUUUAGAAUGUAAGCUCCAUGAGGGCAGCAAUUUUGAUCUAUUUUAUUCACCAUUGUAUCCCCAGUGCUUAGAAUAGUAUCUGACACACAGUAGGUAGUCAAUAAAUACUUGUUGAGAGAAAAAAUUUAUUGGUAAAACUAUCUCAAAGCUUAUCAAUGAAAUUAUUCUUUCAUUUUGGGUGUACUGGAAAACUGUGGCUAUCCAAGAAAUAGGUUUCAACUUCCCUUGCUAAAUGAUUUGAACCCAUAAUAAUCAGGACUAGAUUGGUUACUAUAACUUUCAGGAUAUUGAGCCCUGGAGUUGAUCAUGUAAAGCCCCACUUUUCCAUUGUGGCUGCCAUCUCCCUGACUUUUAUACUUAAUAUCUGUGCCCAAAUCUUCAAAGAUUCCUACAGCAGAGUACUGAGCAGCCUGGAAGAAGGAAGCAGCUCUCUACACCCCAAGCUCCCCGCUCUGUGACUUCUUUAGUGCUCCUUGUAAUAUUAGGUAUUAGGGAAGAGCAAGGGAAAAUGGGCAAGAGGGCUUAAUUCUAAGGACUCUUUUAUUUUUCAAGCCCUCUCAAAACACCAAUCCAUCCUGAAAUAGAGACUUGGGGAAAUCUGUAAAUGCUUAGGACAGUGGUUCCUUCUCAGAAGAAUGGGCUCACAUUUGAGUAUAAAGUAUAAUUAAAUGAACGGUGGUGAGUAUCCUAAAAAAAGGUUAAGUUUAUCAAGGGGGAAAAAAUGGCAACAUACCAAAUAUUCCUGGCCGGCUUGUGAAAGAGAUGUAAGAAUCACUACUUUCUCAAGGUUCCUUUCUAAAUUCUAAAAAGUAGGCCAGAUUAUUUGGUUUUAGCUAAAGCAAGUCUUACCUACAAAAAAAAGGCAUGUUUUUCUGAGCUCAAUGUCACUUAACAGUAUAUAGGACUGCUGUAUAUAAUCAUUGUAUAACCAUUAUUAUGCACAUUUCAUGAAGUUCUGCAAAUUAUUUUAAUAUGCAAAUAGAUUACAGCAUAUUUUUCAUUGUUACGUACUUGCUUUGAAGACAUGUUGCUGAAAAACACCUAUUAUUAAUUUGAUGCCAAGCCCUUGUCAAGAACAAGAUCUCCAAGUGCAUGAUGUUUCUAUGAAAAAACACCCAUUUUCUAACAAUUACUAUAGAAAACAUUACUUCAGAAAGUGGGCUCAUCUGUAGUGGUACUAUACUUAAUUAUAAUUUGCAUGCAGAACUUUUAAUCUAGAAAAAGACUCAGAUAUAAAAAUCAAAUUUGAAAUUUCCUUGAAAGUUUUGGCAGUGAAAAUAGCCAAAUAAAUAUAUGUGGCAAAAUGCUUCCUGAAUGUAUCACGUCCAAAUGUCUAAAUAACAGAGUGGCUCUAUAGGUGUUACUAAUUAAUAUAUCCAACCUAUUUUAGUCUGCAGGUAUUAACUCCGUACGAAUAAAAGAAAAUGAUGAUGUUAUUUAAGUUUCUGAUACAUCGGAAAUGGUGAUCAAUGUGAAAUGUUAACCCUAUAGUUAAAUAAAAAUUCCCAUAAAUUAACUAAUUGUUUAAGAGGCAUUUUUAUUUCUUAAGCAGAGUUUUAAAGUUUAUACUAUUUGUCUCUUCAAUUUUUAUUGUUUCAAGCACUAUAGUUAUGAACAAAAACCUGCAAAGUCUCUCUGAAGCACUUGUGCAUAAUAAUUUUGUUCUUAAAAUAGAAAUGUGAGGAUAGAACAAGGGCUUCUGGAGAAUGGCUUUUUGAAUCUAAGUUCUGCCACUUACCAAGUAUUAAUAAUUAUGCCUUACAAUAGGAGCAAAUUAAUAUCUAACUUACAAUAUUGCUAUAGGAAUUAAAGGAAAUAAUAUCUAUACAACACCUAACACCUAGCAGGUGCUUAAUAAAUGUUAGUUUCCUCCUGCUCCUUCCCCUGCUGGCAGGCAGUGAGUGAGCAAGCAACAUGAAGGGAAGAGGAAAGUCUCUUUUAUUAGAAGGUCUGACCCUCAUCAGAGGCAAGGUUUAUCAUUUAAGAUCCAUUAAUAAUAAGACUGAGAACAACCACUCAGCUGUUCUUUCUCAGAAAUAUAUGAAAUUUAAGUUCAUUUAAAAAUUAAAUAUAUUCAGCCAGGUGCAAUGGCUCAUGCCUGAAAUCCCAGCACUUUGGGAGGCCAAGGUGGGUGGAUCACUUGAGGUCAGGAGUUUGAGACCAGCCUGGCCAACAUGGUGAAACCCCAUCUCUACUAAAAAUACAAAAACCAGCAGGGUGUGGUGGCACAUGUCUGUAAUCCCAGCUACUUAGGAGGCUGAGGCAGGAGAAUCACUUGAACCUGGGAGGCGGAGGCUGCAGUGAGCCGAGAUUGCUCCACUGCACUCCAUCCUGGGUAACAGAGCCAGACCCUGUCUCAAGAAAAAAAAAAUUAAAUUAAAUAUAUUCACUUAUUCCUCCAGGGGUAGUAGAUUCAUUACUGAGUCGUUGUCUUCUACGUGGGGUCAGCAGAAUUUCUGAAAAAUAUGGAAAACAUUUAGCACAUUUAGCGUAUCAAUCUGAGUAAUAGCAUAUCAAUUCCAUUAGUAUAUUUCCUUUAUUCCCCCGUCUAGUGGGAAUACUUAGAUAGAUUAGGAAGAAUUUUUAAACCAACAGUCUAAGACUACUCCCUGGGUACAUCUUCAAUUACUUGUUGCUUAGAGACAGAUUUUCUUUUUAAGAUUAUUUUAUCCUCUAGUUUUUAAUAUAUUUAAUGCUUUAGAUAAUAGUUCAGAAGGUAUAGCCAUAAUUACAAUUUUAAAGCUGCUGAAUUAAUUACUUUUGUUACAGAUAAGUGAUUUCCUUAGUUCACUUUUAUAUCUGUCUUCAGCUUCCACAAUGACUUUGUGACGAUCACAUUGGUAUGGGCAAGAGUGCAAGAGCUUGCUAAAGUUUCGGCUAUUCAGGGAUUUUUCUACUGCUAUGCAACCUAAAAGAAAACAAAUUAAAGUUAUGUGUAGAUGUCACAAAAUAUCUAGUAACAAAUCUAUGAUAGCAAAUAUCUAUAUGAUGGUAACUGAAGUAAAAUCAGGAACUAUAAACACCUCAAGAAGCUCAAAAUCAUAUGAGGGAGUAAAGACAACAAAUACAACAGAGUGAAAUAAGUGCUGGGAGGGAGGUAUGAACAGUUACGGUGCUUUAGAAAAAGAGCAUCUAGGCCGGCCACGGUGGCUCAUGCCUGUAAUCCCAGCACUUUGGGAGGCCAAGGUGGGU